Long non-coding RNA from Bombus huntii, 342 nucleotides. RefSeq lists it as uncharacterized. Lineage: Eukaryota; Metazoa; Arthropoda; Insecta; Hymenoptera; Apidae. The transcript is spliced from 3 exons. The record is from RefSeq and is a predicted model, not a curated record.
CAGACAAUGUAAGGACGUUAUUGUCGGUCUGUUUGUUUACAAACGUUCAGGAGCGAUAAAAAACGAUCGGUGGAUUGAUCGACCAUCGCGUCUGCACUAGAUGAAGCGUCACGCAAGUAAAGACUAUAGGUGUUGUAAUUUCCAUUCGGUUCGUGUCUUUUGCCAGAGACCUAGUACUUAUGUAAAAGCAGGGCAAAUAAGUGGGCGGGCGAAUUCGAAAAUACACCCACCAUGGAUUAAAUAUAACUGGAGAUGCACGCACACGGAAUGCAGUACGAUGGCACGCGAACGAUCGGUCGCUCGCAAAUAUGUAAAUUCCCGCAUCACGUCGAAAGCGCUGCU